ACAGGGAUUGCCCUAGUAACGGCGAGUGAAGCGGCAACAGCUCAAAUUUGAAAUCUGGCGUCUUCGGCGUCCGAGUUGUAAUUUGCAGAGGGCGCUUUGGCAUUGGCAGCGGUCCAAGUUCCUUGGAACAGGACGUCACAGAGGGUGAGAAUCCCGUACGUGGUCGCUAGCCUUUACCGUGUAAAGCCCCUUCGACGAGUCGAGUUGUUUGGGAAUGCAGCUCUAAAUGGGAGGUAAAUUUCUUCUAAAGCUAAAUACUGGCCAGAGACCGAUAGCGCACAAGUAGAGUGAUCGAAAGAUGAAAAGCACUUUGGAAAGAGAGUUAAAAAGCACGUGAAAUUGUUGAAAGGGAAGCGCUUGCAGCCAGACUUGCCUGUAGUUGCUCAUCCGGGUUUUUACCCGGUGCACUCUUCUACGGGCAGGCCAGCAUCAGUUUGGGCGGUUGGAUAAAGGUCUCUGUCAUGUACCUCCUCUCGGGGAGAACUUAUAGGGGAGACGACAUGCAACCAGCCCGGACUGAGGUCCGCGCAUCUGCUAGGAUGCUGGCGUAAUGGCUGUAAGCGGCCCGUCUUGAAACACGGACCAAGGAGUCUAACAUCUAUGCGAGUGUUUGGGUGUCAAGCCCGAGCGCGUAAUGAAAGUGAACGGAGGUGGGAACCUUUCGGGGUGCACCAUCGACCGAUCCUGAUGUCUUCGGAUGGAUUUGAGUAAGAGCAUAGCUGUUGGGACCCGAAAGAUGGUGAACUAUGCUUGAAUAGGGUGAAGCCAGAGGAAACUCUGGUGGAGGCUCGCAGCGGUUCUGACGUGCAAAUCGAUCGUCAAAUUUGGGCAUAGGGGCGAAAGACUAAUCGAACUAUCUAGUAGCUGGUUCCUGCCGAAGUUUCCCUCAGGAUAGCAGUAACGUUUUCAGUUUUAUGAGGUAAAGCGAAUGAUUAGAGGACUGGGGGAUGAAACAUCCUU
Molecule: ribosomal RNA, 960 nt
Filed under: Epicoccum viticis
Lineage: Eukaryota; Fungi; Ascomycota; Dothideomycetes; Pleosporales; Didymellaceae
Also listed under: 1 other name
Description: eukaryotic LSU rRNA
Rfam family: Eukaryotic large subunit ribosomal RNA
Source: RNAcentral